Molecule: ribosomal RNA, 791 nt
Filed under: uncultured marine bacterium
Lineage: Bacteria
Description: bacterial SSU rRNA
Rfam family: Bacterial small subunit ribosomal RNA
Source: RNAcentral
UGAUCCUGGCUCAGAUUGAACGCUGGCGGCAGGCUUAACACAUGCAAGUCGAACGGUAACAGAGGAGUGCUUGCACUUUUGCUGACGAGUGGCGGACGGGUGAGUAAUGCUUGGGAAUAUGCCUUAUGGUGGGGGACAACAGUUGGAAACGACUGCUAAUACCGCAUAAUAUCUGAGGAUCAAAGUGGGGGACCUUCGGGCCUCACGCCAUAAGAGUAGCCCAAGUGGGAUUAGCUAGUUGGUAAGGUAAUGGCUUACCAAGGCGACGAUCCCUAGCUGGUUUGAGAGGAUGACCAGCCACACUGGAACUGAGACACGGUCCAGACUCCUACGGGAGGCAGCAGUGGGGAAUAUUGCACAAUGGGCGCAAGCCUGAUGCAGCCAUGCCGCGUGUGUGAAGAAGGCUUUCGGGUUGUAAAGCACUUUCAGCGAGGAGGAAAGGGUGAUGCUUAAUAGGUAUCAUCUGUGACGUUACUCGCAGAAGAAGCACCGGCUAACUCCGUGCCAGCAGCCGCGGUAAUACGGAGGGUGCGAGCGUUAAUCGGAAUUACUGGGCGUAAAGCGCGCGUAGGCGGUUAAUUAAGUCAGAUGUGAAAUCCCAGGGCUCAACCUUGGAACUGCAUUUGAUACUGAUUAACUAGAGUUUUGUAGAGGGUGGUAGAAUUUCAGGUGUAGCGGUGAAAUGCGUAGAGAUCUGAAGGAAUACCAGUGGCGAAGGCGGCCACCUGGACAAAGACUGACGCUGAGGCGCGAAGGCGUGGGGAGCAAACGGGAUUAGAUACCCCGGUAGU